This 1254-nucleotide ribosomal RNA is filed under the name metagenome. Its description in RNAcentral is "bacterial LSU rRNA". It matches the Rfam family "Bacterial large subunit ribosomal RNA", at positions 1635 to 2881 of the family's 2925-position model. The record is from RNAcentral.
GAUACGACCGUACCGCAAACCGACACUGGUGCGCGAGAUGAGUAUUCUAAGGCGCUUGAGAGAACUCAGGAGAAGGAACUCGGCAAAUUGACACCGUAACUUCGGAAGAAGGUGUGCCCUAUUAGUGUGUAGUGAACAACGAAGCAUGAAUGGGUUGCAAAAAAUCGGUGGCUGCGACUGUUUAUUAAAAACACAGCACUCUGCAAACACGAAAGUGGACGUAUAGGGUGUGACGCCUGCCCGGUGCUGGAAGAUUAAAUGAUGGGGUGCAAGCUCUUGAUUGAAGUCCCAGUAAACGGCGGCCGUAACAAUAACGGUCCUAAGGUAGCGAAAUUCCUUGUCGGGUAAGUUCCGACCUGCACGAAUGGCGUAACGAUGGCCACACUGUCACCUCCUGAGACUCAGCGAAGUUGAAAUGUUUGUGAUGAUGCAAUCUCCCCGCGGAAAGACGGAAAGACCCCAUGAACCUUUACUGUAGCUUUGUAUUGGACUUUGAACAGAUCUGUGUAGGAUAGGUGGGAGGCUUUGAAGCAGGGUCGCUAGAUCUUGUGGAGCCAACGUUGAAAUACCACCCUGGUGUGUUUGAGGUUCUAACCUAGGUCCAUUAUCUGGAUCGGGGACAGUGCAUGGUAGGCAGUUUGACUGGGGCGGUCUCCUCCCAAAGCGUAACGGAGGAGUUCGAAGGUACGCUAGUUACGGUCGGACAUCGUGACGAUAGUGCAAUGGCAUAAGCGUGCUUAACUGCGAGACUGACAAGUCGAGCAGAUGCGAAAGCAGGACAUAGUGAUCCGGUGGUUCUGUAUGGAAGGGCCAUCGCUCAACGGAUAAAAGGUACUCUGGGGAUAACAGGCUGAUACCGCCCAAGAGUUCAUAUCGACGGCGGUGUUUGGCACCUCGAUGUCGGCUCAUCUCAUCCUGGGGCUGUAGCCGGUCCCAAGGGUAUGGCUGUUCGCCAUUUAAAGAGGUACGUGAGCUGGGUUUAAAACGUCGUGAGACAGUUUGGUCCCUAUCUUCCGUGGGCGCUGCAGAUUUGAGGAAGCCUGCUCCUAGUACGAGAGGACCGGAGUGGACACACCUCUGGUGUAUCGGUUGUCACGCCAGUGGCAUUGCCGAGUAGCUAAGUGUGGAAGAGAUAACCGCUGAAAGCAUCUAAGCGGGAAACUCGUUUCAAGAUGAGAUCUGCCGGGGCCUUGAGCCCCCUAAAGAGUCGUUCAAGACCAGGACGUUGAUAGGUCAGGUGUGGAAGCGAAAAAA